RNAcentral lists this long non-coding RNA (271 nucleotides) under Lathyrus oleraceus (garden pea). RNAcentral describes it as "Pisum sativum (pea) long non-coding RNA (PSAT_LNC019364)". Lineage: Eukaryota; Viridiplantae; Streptophyta; Magnoliopsida; Fabales; Fabaceae. The record is from RNAcentral.
CUCCAAAAUGAGUGGUUCUUUUUGCAUUUUGAUCCUUAUGACUUGUAGUUUUCAAAUGUGCCAUUACAUGACUUAAAUUUCCUUUGCAUGGGCAUGUGCUUAUUGUAACACCCCAAAAUUUGCCCUCCUCAUUCAUGCAUUCAUUUAGCAUUUCAUAUUGCAUUUCAAUCAGAAUUAGAUCCAAGAAACUUAAAAAAAAACGAAAAAAAAUAAAUAAAUAAUUUUUUACAAAAAAAAAAAAAAAAAAAUAUAUAAUAGAAAAACUUGGACU